CAGUCGCCGCGGGAAUACGUAGGUCCCGAGCGUUGUCCGGAUUUAUUGGGCGUAAAGCGAGCGCAGGCGGUUUGAUAAGUCUGAAGUUAAAGGCUGUGGCUCAACCAUAGUUCGCUUUGGAAACUGUCAAACUUGAGUGCAGAAGGGGAGAGUGGAAUUCCAUGUGUAGCGGUGAAAUGCGUAGAUAUAUGGAGGAACACCGGUGGCGAAAGCGGCUCUCUGGUCUGUAACUGACGCUGAGGCUCGAAAGCGUGGGGAGCGAACAGGAUUAGAUACCCGUGUAGUCCCUGUCUCUUAUACA
RNAcentral lists this ribosomal RNA (301 nucleotides) under uncultured bacterium. Its description in RNAcentral is "partial 16S ribosomal RNA". It matches the Rfam family "Bacterial small subunit ribosomal RNA", at positions 509 to 808 of the family's 1533-position model. The record is from RNAcentral.